Long non-coding RNA from Dipodomys ordii (Ord's kangaroo rat), 313 nucleotides. RefSeq lists it as uncharacterized. NCBI's taxonomy places the organism in Eukaryota, Metazoa, Chordata, Mammalia, Rodentia, Heteromyidae. The record is from RefSeq and is a predicted model, not a curated record. The transcript is spliced from 3 exons.
GGAGGAGGGGAGGAACCUGAUCCUCCGGUAGAGAAGGGCUGAGGCAAACAUCGAGCUCCCCCAGAGCCACCCAGGAGCUGGGAGGGCUCGGCUACCCCGGGGGGCCCUCCCUGCGGGGCAGAGGAGCUCAAUGUUCAGACUGCAAGCCAUGCAUUCAGGUCAGCCAAGCACCCUAUCUGCUGAUUCUCCAUAAGCGGCUUGAUUUACCCACUCCAUACCUGAGAACAUGGGGAUUGGAAUAAGGUAUGUCUAAUGUGCUGAGAAUGCAGAGGUGAGUCAGAGGAUACACUGUUAGUGGGAGAGAUGGACAGGU